Molecule: long non-coding RNA, 300 nt
Organism: Drosophila pseudoobscura
Lineage: Eukaryota; Metazoa; Arthropoda; Insecta; Diptera; Drosophilidae
Exons: 2
Source: RefSeq, a predicted model, not a curated record
UCCUGGAAGAACAUCGCACCAGGUGCAAGGGAGAAUAAAUUCUGUUAGUAUGCAACAAGCGAAAGCUUCUGUACUUUGAGCUCUGAAGUGUGUGUUUAGGGUCUAAGCCCCUCUGAAACUUCAAGCUACCAAGUAGGAGGAGAGAGAAUUUGUAUUCAUUAAUUAGACAAACGAAUCGGAACCGGCUUGGAAACUGCAUCGAAGACUUCCCCACUUAUUGAUCGCGUUAUUGAUCACCUGGCCAGCCACCUUCACCUUCACCUUCACCUUGACAUUCGCAUGGGUAUCGGAAGCUGAAUU